This 449-nucleotide ribosomal RNA is filed under the name uncultured bacterium. RNAcentral's name for it is "bacterial SSU rRNA". It matches the Rfam family "Bacterial small subunit ribosomal RNA", at positions 29 to 507 of the family's 1533-position model. The record is from RNAcentral.
GCGAACGCUGGCGGCAUGGCUAAAGCAUGCAAGUCGAACGGUUAAAGCCCCUUCGGGGGUGCAUAAAGUGGCGCAAGGGCGAGGAAUACGUUUCCACGUACCCCGAGGUCGAGGAUAGCCCAGGGAAACCUGGAGUAAUACUCGAUGUGGUCCUUCGGGAUCAAAGGCUUCGGUCGCCUUGGGAGCGGGGAACGCCCUAUCAGGUUGUUGGUGAGGUAACGGCUCACCAAGCCGAAGACGGGUAGCGGGUGUGAGAGCACGACCCGCCGCAUCGGGACUGAGACACUGCCCGGACUCCUACGGGAGGCUGCAGCAACGAAUCUUCCGCAAUGCGCGAAAGCGUGACGGAGCAAUGCCGCGUGCAGGAUGAAUCCCUUCGGGGUGUAAACUGCUGUCAGGGUUCAGCAACACAAUGAGCAGACCCAAAGGAAGGGCCGGCUAACUUCGUG